Non-coding RNA from Podarcis lilfordi (Lilford's wall lizard), 74 nucleotides. NCBI's taxonomy places the organism in Eukaryota, Metazoa, Chordata, Lepidosauria, Squamata, Lacertidae. The record is from the annotation of a GenBank genome assembly.
GGUACCACUGUGUAUAUAUAUAUAUAUAUAUAUAUAUAUAUAUAUAUAUAUAUGUAUGUAACCUGAGGUACCAC